RNAcentral lists this ribosomal RNA (253 nucleotides) under uncultured bacterium. Its description in RNAcentral is "partial 16S ribosomal RNA". It matches the Rfam family "Bacterial small subunit ribosomal RNA", at positions 524 to 776 of the family's 1533-position model. The record is from RNAcentral.
UACGUAGGGCGCAAGCGUUGUCCGGAAUUAUUGGGCGUAAAGAGCUCGUAGGCGGCUUGUCACGUCGGGGGUGAAAGCCCGGGGCUUAACCCCGGGUCUGCAUUCGAUACGGGCAGGCUAGAGUGUGGUAGGGGAGAUCGGAAUUCCUGGUGUAGCGGUGAAAUGCGCAGAUAUCAGGAGGAACACCGGUGGCGAAGGCGGGUCUCUGGGCCGUAACUGACGCUGAGGAGCGAAAGCAUGGGGAGCGAACAGG